GACGUAGGGCGCGAGCGUUGUCCGGAUUUAUUGGGCGUAAAGAGCUCGUAGGCGGCUUGUCGCGUCGAAUGUGAAAUCCUGCGGCUCAACUGCAGGCUUGCAUUCGAUACGGGCAGGCUCGAGUUCGGUAGGGGAGACUGGAAUUUCUGGUGUAGCGGUGAAAUGCGCAGAUAUCAGGAGGAACACCAGUGGCGAAGGCGGCUCGCUGGGCCGGUCCUGACGCUGAGACGCGAAGGCGUGGGGAGCGAACGGG
Molecule: ribosomal RNA, 253 nt
Filed under: uncultured bacterium
Lineage: Bacteria
Description: partial 16S ribosomal RNA
Rfam family: Bacterial small subunit ribosomal RNA
Source: RNAcentral